UGAACUUACAAUUCUGUCUAGCUGGGCCC
RNAcentral lists this non-coding RNA (29 nucleotides) under Mus musculus (house mouse). The record is from RNAcentral. Lineage: Eukaryota; Metazoa; Chordata; Mammalia; Rodentia; Muridae.